UGGGGAAUAUUGCACAAUGGGCGCAAGCCUGAUGCAGCCAUGCCGCGUGUGUGAAGAAGGCCUUCGGGUUGUAAAGCACUUUCAGCGAGGAGGAAGGUGGUGAACUUAAUACGUCAUCAAUUGACGUUACUCGCAGAAGAAGCACCGGCUAACUCCGUGCCAGCAGCCGCGGUAAUACGGAGGGUGCAAGCGUUAAUCGGAAUUACUGGGCGUAAAGCGCACGCAGGCGGUUUGUUAAGUCAGAUGUGAAAUCCCCGGGCUCAACCUGGGAACUGCAUUUGAAACUGGCAAGCUAGAGUCUCGUAGAGGGGGGUAGAAUUCCAGGUGUAGCGGUGAAAUGCGUAGAGAUCUGGAGGAAUACCGGUGGCGAAGGCGGCCCCCUGGACGAAGACUGACGCUCAGGUGCGAAAGCGUGGGGCAGCAAACAGGAUUAGAUACCCUGGUAGUCCACGCUGUAAACGAUGUCGAUUUGGAGGUUGUGCCCUUGAGGCGUGGCUUCCGGAGCUAACGCGUUAAAUCGACCGCCUGGGGAGUACGGCCGCAAGGUU
Molecule: ribosomal RNA, 548 nt
Filed under: uncultured bacterium
Lineage: Bacteria
Description: partial 16S ribosomal RNA
Rfam family: Bacterial small subunit ribosomal RNA
Source: RNAcentral